GCAAGGUUGUGAUAAUUGGUAGUCGAGCGGUCUUGAAAACCGUUGUCCGGUAACGGAUUCAGGGUUCGAGUCCCUGACCUUGUG
Non-coding RNA from Ruminococcus callidus ATCC 27760, 84 nucleotides. Lineage: Bacteria; Bacillati; Bacillota; Clostridia; Eubacteriales; Oscillospiraceae. The record is from Rfam.